Molecule: long non-coding RNA, 2593 nt
Filed under: Sus scrofa (pig)
Lineage: Eukaryota; Metazoa; Chordata; Mammalia; Artiodactyla; Suidae
Description: lncRNA (ENSSSCG00005025338.1)
Source: RNAcentral
GGCAUGUGGAGGGUCCCAGGCCAGGGGUCUAAUCGGAGCUGUAGCCGCCGGCCCAUGCCAGAGCCGCAGCAAUGCCAGAUCCAAACCGCGUCUGCAACCUACACCACAGCUCACGGCAACGCCGGAUCCUUAACCCAUUAAGCAAGGCCAGGGGUCGAACCCGCAACCUCAUGGUUCCUAGUUGGAUUUGUUAACCACUUCGCCACGAUGGGAACUCCUCCACUUAGAUUUUGUAGUACCUGAUGUUACAACCUUUCAUUCUUGGCAAUCCCUUUUCUCUUUAAAGUGUCGUUUCUCUACUUCUGUCUUUCAUUCAAAGUAUAAAAAUUCUUAAAAAGUCCCUUCAUUUCCUUACUUUCUCUGCCGCUGCCGCUCUAACUCUCUAUCUCCUGCCCUUUGCCCUUCUGUUCUUUCUGACUACUUAUUUCCUUUUCUGUUUUACUUGCCAUUUGUCUUGCUCUAAGACUGCAUGUGAGUUUCUACCCAUAGUCAUCUAGGUCUUCAGCCCAAGAUAAUUCCAUCUCUUCAUGGGGAGAAAAACUAGAGACAAAAAACACCCCAGAGCUCUGGGCUCUCGCCUUUCCUUUAUUGUGUGGCUCUGUUCUUCCCUUAGCGCUUUUAAAUUAUAGUCUCAGCCCUGGAAAGAGAGAAUGACCCAGGAUACUGCUCAGUAAUGCACUCCACCAAUCACCUUUCAACUAAGGGCUCAGAAGGCACAGCUUUACUAUUUAAAGUGUAAGAUGUUCCAGGCUGAUAUUAUGCUCUUUUGUUGUUGCUGUUGUUGUCUUUUUAGGGCCGGAUCCACAGCAUAUGGAGGUUCCCAGGCUGGGGGUCAAAUCGGAGUGGUAGCUGCCAACCUAUGCCAGAGCCACAUCAACGCAGGAUCCGAGCCACGUCUGUGACCUACACCACAGCUCACCGCAAUGCUGGAUUCUUAACUCACUGAGCAAGGCUGGGGAUCGAACCUGCGUCCUCAUGGAUGCUCCUCAGAUUUGUUUCCGCUGAGCCACGAUGGGAACUCCUGAUAUUAUGCUCUUGUAGGACCAGGUAAUCUAGCUGAAGUCCAGCCUCUGCUAUUCUACUGCCCAGAGGCUGGGGACACUUUGGAAUUCUGGAUAGGCCUCACUUUGGGCAGAAAAGUUCUGCAAAGUCAAUGUAGUCCAUCUAGUCACCUGACAUCUGUGUCUCUGAAUCCAGGGAAGGGAAACUCACUACUUCCCAAGGCAGCCUAAUCUGUUCCAUGACCAAAUAAGAAAGUUGCAUUUUCAAAGAAAACAUUCAUGUAUUUGGUCAUGGUGACUGUUUGCUUAGCAAACUAUCCUUCCAUGAAUCAUGGUUAUUCUGAACUUUCAGUAGCCCUAGGUCACUUCACCCCAUCAAAGUCUUUGCAAGAGAAAGGGCUUUAAAGGCAUCAGAAUGUUAGAUUAUUUAUUCUUUUAAAAUUUACAAAUGUGGAGGUAAAAAUAUGUUUAUAGUGCAUGGAUCUAUCCUUAUCAGCCUUAUCAUCAUGUGUAAUAAUAAUAGCUCAUACUUCUAGAGAAUUACUGUGUGCCAGGCAUUAUUCUAAGAAUUUUGCAUAUAUUAAACCACGUAAGUGUGAUAUCUCUAAACUUCUCCUAUUUCCUUCCCUAUAGGGGUCCAGAAUUUGAUAACACAUCAACAAAAGAAGAAAUCUAUGUCAUCCAGCCCAAUCUUCAACAUUCUCUAUGAGUCCCAGAAAGGGUGUGUGCCUUACCUUAGGUCACACAGCUACUAAUGGUCAAGUGAAUCUCAAGCACUUAACAAUAUCAAGCUCGCUGUUCAUAGCCAGCAUCAAGAACGAAAUUUUAGGAACCUGAGAUUCUUUUUCAUAAAAACCUGCCUUGAUUUGCUCUACAUGGGGCUACUACUCUUUCACAAGGUGCCCAAAUCACCUUUCCUGCCUUGUUAUCUUUUAAAGUCAGUGAGAUUUCUGAAUCAGGAACAGAAUCCUUUCGAUCUCUGCCAUUGACUCUCUUAUCAGAACAACUGACAGACACAGUUCAAUUGACCUAUUCAAGAUCUGCUGGAUCUUUCUCCUCUGUGGCUUGCAGGGAAGGAUGUAAGAAGCAGUGGGAGAGCAGGUAUCAGGAGAGGAGGACCCUGAUAGAACAAGGAGACAGAUGGAGGCUUAGCUGGCUGCAUGCUGAACUGAGCACCUCUCUGGCAGGAGAGAAGGGAGCUGGGUCCCUGACUGUUUACUUCCAUGGAAGUUCACCUGAAUUUUGCUCCUGGGACAGAAUGGGAUAUUCCCGCCCAAUUCUGGCUGUGCACAUUUCUUCCCAAGAACCUCCGUCUCUGCCCUAUCUAUAUAUGGAAACACAUCUGACAACAGCAGCAGACAAGAAAGAUUUUUGUUCUCUCAGAACGCAGAAAAAUUCUCCGUCAGCAGCCGUUUUUUUCAGUGUUUGGUGCAUUGAUGUGUGGGCUACAUAGACUAUUUUAAAGUCAUAUUUGCCUUCAAGCAAUGGCAGCUUUGUAAACAGUAUGGACAUGGACAUAUGAGUCAGAUUCAGUUUAUAACCAAUGCUAAGGCAAUUCCAAAACUACUUUAUUGUAUAAAUAUUGUUCAGAA